AUGCUGGGGUCUCCAUACAUCCAGACAGCCCUGGUAGACCUUCUCUGCUCCCCUUCUGCACACCAACAAAACCAAGCCUUGAGCAGAAAGGAAUGGCUGUCUUGUGUCUCCUUGUUGGAGGCCAGUGAUGAUGGGAAGAGCUGGCAGCCUGUGCAGGCUGACAUGAGAAAUAGUUUGCUGAGCCCUGCCGUUGAGAUAAGGACAAAGGGCCAGGACCAGCUCUGGGGGAAGCGUGAGUUGCUUGCACAAGGGCCCGCAGCGCAGCGAGAGAUGGAACAGCAGAGGGAUCAAGGCAGAAUACGGUGCUUUGUUGUGUGUGUUUGGCUAGCCAUGGUUAUGCCUGGUCAAAGGAAGGUGGAGACACAACUCGUCCCUCAUAAAACUUAG
This 387-nucleotide long non-coding RNA is filed under the name Anas platyrhynchos platyrhynchos (common mallard). RNAcentral's name for it is "lncRNA (ENSAPLG00000027041.1)". Lineage: Eukaryota; Metazoa; Chordata; Aves; Anseriformes; Anatidae. The record is from RNAcentral.